RNAcentral lists this ribosomal RNA (857 nucleotides) under uncultured Flavobacteriia bacterium. RNAcentral describes it as "bacterial SSU rRNA". It matches the Rfam family "Bacterial small subunit ribosomal RNA", at positions 8 to 867 of the family's 1533-position model. Lineage: Bacteria; Pseudomonadati; Bacteroidota; Flavobacteriia. The record is from RNAcentral.
AGGGUUUGAUCAUGGCUCAGGAUGAACGCUAGCGGCAGGCUUAACACAUGCAAGUCGAGGGGUAGAAGGUGCUUGCACCUUUGAGACCGGCGCACGGGUGCGUAACGCGUAUGCAAUCUGCCUUGUACUGGGGAAUAGCCCGGAGAAAUCCGGAUUAAUGCCCCAUGGUAUUUUUGUGUGGCAUCACACGAUUAUUAAAGAUUUAUCGGUACAAGAUGAGCAUGCGUCCCAUUAGUUAGUUGGUGUGGCAACGGCACACCAAGACGAUGAUGGGUAGGGGUCCUGAGAGGGAGAUCCCCCACACUGGUACUGAGACACGGACCAGACUCCUACGGGAGGCAGCAGUGAGGAAUAUUGGUCAAUGGGCGCAAGCCUGAACCAGCCAUGCCGCGUGCAGGAUGACGGCCCUAUGGGUUGUAAACUGCUUUUAUACGGGAAGAAACACUCCUUCGUGAAGGAGCUUGACGGUACCGUAAGAAUAAGGAUCGGCUAACUCCGUGCCAGCAGCCGCGGUAAUACGGAGGAUCCAAGCGUUAUCCGGAAUCAUUGGGUUUAAAGGGUCCGUAGGCGGCUUUGUAAGUCAGUGGUGAAAUCCGGCAGCUUAACUGUCGAACUGCCAUUGAUACUGCAGAGCUUGAAUAAUUGGGAAGUAACUAGAAUAUGUAGUGUAGCGGUGAAAUGCUUAGAUAUUACAUGGAAUACCGAUUGCGAAGGCAGGUUACUACCAAUUCAUUGACGCUGAUGGACGAAAGCGUGGGGAGCGAACAGGAUUAGAUACCCUGGUAGUCCACGCCGUAAACGAUGGAUACUAGCUGUUGGGUCGCAAGACUCAGUGGCUAAGCGAAAGUGAUAAGUAU